This 606-nucleotide ribosomal RNA is filed under the name uncultured Bacilli bacterium. Its description in RNAcentral is "bacterial SSU rRNA". It matches the Rfam family "Bacterial small subunit ribosomal RNA", at positions 112 to 706 of the family's 1533-position model. Lineage: Bacteria; Bacillati; Bacillota; Bacilli. The record is from RNAcentral.
AACGCGUAGGUAACCUGCCUGGUAGCGGGGGAUAACUAUUGCAAACGAUAGCUAAUACCGCAUCACAGUAGAUGUUGCAUGACAUUUGCUUAAAAGGUGCAAUUGCAUCACUACCAGAUGGACCUGCGUUGUAUUAGCUAAUUGGUGGGGUAACGGCUCACCAAGGCGACGAUACAUAGCCGACCUGAGAGGGUGAUCGGCCACACUGGGACUGAGACACGGCCCAGACUCCUACGGGAGGCAGCAGUAGGGAAUCUUCGGCAAUGGACGGAAGUCUGACCGAGCAACGCCGCGUGAGUGAAGAAGGUUUUCGGAUCGUAAAGCUCUGUUGUAAGAGAAGAACGAGUGUGAGAGUGGAAAGUUCACACUGUGACGGUAUCUUACCAGAAAGGGACGGCUAACUACGUGCCAGCAGCCGCGGUAAUACGUAGGUCCCGAGCGUUGUCCGGAUUUAUUGGGCGUAAAGCGAGCGCAGGCGGUUAGAUAAGUCUGAAGUUAAAGGCUGUGGCUUAACCAUAGUACGCUUUGGAAACUGUUUAACUUGAGUGCAAGAGGGGAGAGUGGAAUUCCAUGUGUAGCGGUGAAAUGCGUAGAUAUAUGGAGGAA